Non-coding RNA from Callorhinus ursinus (northern fur seal), 782 nucleotides. Lineage: Eukaryota; Metazoa; Chordata; Mammalia; Carnivora; Otariidae. The record is from RefSeq and is a predicted model, not a curated record.
CAGUGCUUGAAGCAGUGGGUGUGCCAACAUGUCCCAUGGUUCCAGCACUGGUUUUGACCACCACAUUACCAUUUUUUCACCCGAGGGCCGGCUCUACCAAGUAGAAUAUGCUUUUAAGGCUAUUAACCAGGGUGGCCUUACAUUGGUAGCUGUCAGAGGGAAAGACUGUGCAGUAAUUGUCACACAGAAGAAAGUACCUGACAAAUUAUUGGAUUCUAGCACAGUGACUCACUUAUUCAAGAUAACUGAAAACAUUGGCUGUGUGAUGACAGGAAUGACAGCUGACAGCAGAUCCCAGGUACAGAGGGCAUGCUAUGAGGCAGCUAACUGGAAAUACAAGUAUGGCUAUGAGAUUCCUGUGGACAUGCUGUGCAAAAGAAUUGCUGAUAUUUCUCAGGUCUACACACAGAAUGCUGAAAUGAGGCCUCUUGGUUGUUGUAUGAUUUUAAUUGGUAUCGAUGAAGAACAAGGCCCUCAGGUGUACAAGUGUGAUCCUGCAGGUUACUACUGUGGGUUUAAAGCCACUGCAGCAGGAGUUAAACAAACGGAGUCAACCAGCUUCCUUGAAAAAAAAGUGAAGAAGAAAUUUGGACAUUUGAGCAGACAGUGGAAACUGCAAUUACAUGCCUAUCUACUGUUCUAUCAAUUGAUUUCAAACCUUCAGAAGUAGAAGUUGGAGUAGUUACAGUUGAAAAUCCUAAAUUCAGGAUUCUUUCAGAAGCAGAGAUUGAUGCUCACCUUGUUGCUCUAGCCGAGAGAGACUAAACAUGUAGUUAGUUUAC